GAAGUUAAUUUGGAUCCCCAAUUUGAAUCAUCUUCUCCAAAAUUCACCGUCUAUCAAUGGCAUCCAAAGCAAGCAGCUCCUCCAUCUUCCAAAGCCUGAAACGAUACAUCAAGAAGCCAUGGGAGAUAACCGGACCUUGCGCCGACCCAGAGUACAAGAGCGCUUUGCCCAAAGCCACGGAGUACCGUGUUCGCUGCCCGGCCACCACUUUACAGAAGCCCAUCGUCCCCACAUCUGACCCCGAAACCGUCUUUGAUAUCAAAUAUUACACCCGCGACCAACGCCGCGACCGCCCCCCGAUCCCUCGCACCAUCUUGAAGAAAGCCGAUGUGGAGAAAAUGAUGAAAGAGAAGACCUUUGAUGUCAACGAUUUCCCUAAGGUUUAUUUGACUGCCAAAGUUGAAGAAGAUGAGAAUGCCAUUGGUGGAGGCUACCAGAAAUAGAUUUGGUAGUGGUUAAUUUCUGUUUUGAGACGAGGUGAUUGGUUUCUCAUUAUUGGUAUGUGUGGAAGCUACCAGAAAUAGGUCUCUGUGGAAAUUUUUAAUGUGCACCAGUUUUCUCAGGUUUCAUUCUCCUGCUGAGCUGUCGUGGAACAAAUGCUGGUCAUCUUAACAUAGCAGUGUCUUGAGACUCUUGAAAUUGAAGAGGAUGCAGUGUCCUACAUUAAUAAGGUUAUUUGCCUGGAUUUUUUUAUUCCAUUGUUCAGCAUAUUUGCAUGAAUGUAUAAAUCCAGAUGCAACUGCAAUUGGAUGAUGGAUAAUGUGAUUGACUAGAUCAAGAUAAGCAUCUGGUUUCUAUUAGCUAUUCUGCAAUAAGAAAA
This is an RNA transcript of Hibiscus syriacus, 820 nucleotides long. RefSeq lists it as uncharacterized. The transcript is spliced from 3 exons. NCBI's taxonomy places the organism in Eukaryota, Viridiplantae, Streptophyta, Magnoliopsida, Malvales, Malvaceae. The record is from RefSeq and is a predicted model, not a curated record.